CUGUUGUAUAAUGGGUCAGCGACUUAUAUUCUGUAGCAAGGUUAACCGAAUAGGGGAGCCGGAGGGAAACCGAGUCUUAAUUGGGCGUUAAGUUGCAGGGUAUAGACCCGAAACCCGGUGAUCUAGCCAUGGGCAGGUUGAAGGUUGGGUAACACUAACUGGAGGACCGAACCGACUAAUGUUGAAAAAUUAGCGGAUGACCUGUGGCUGGGGGUGAAAGGCCAAUCAAACCGGGAGAUAGCUGGUUCUCCCCGAAAGCUAUUUAGGUAGCGCCUCGUGAAUUCAUCUCCGGGGGUAGAGCACUGUUUCGGCUAGGGGGCCAUCCCGGCUUACCAACCCGAUGCAAACUGCGAAUACCGGAGAAUGUUAUCACGGGAGACACACGGCGGGUGCUAACGUCCGUCGUGAAGAGGGAAACAACCCAGACCGCCAGCUAAGGUCCCAAAGUCAUGGUUAAGUGGGAAACGAUGUGGGAAGGCCCAGACAGCCAGGAUGUUGGCUUAGAAGCAGCCAUCAUUUAAAGAAAGCGUAAUAGCUCACUGGUCGAGUCGGCCUGCGCGGAAGAUGUAACGGGGCUAAACCAUGCACCGAAGCUGCGGCAGCGACACUGUGUGUUGUUGGGUAGGGGAGCGUUCUGUAAGCCUGCGAAGGUGGCCUGUGAGGGUUGCUGGAGGUAUCAGAAGUGCGAAUGCUGACAUAAGUAACGAUAAAGCGGGUGAAAAGCCCGCUCGCCGGAAGACCAAGGGUUCCUGUCCAACGUUAAUCGGGGCAGGGUGAGUCGACCCCUAAGGCGAGGCCGAAAGGCGUAGUCGAUGGGAAACGGGUUAAUAUUCCCGUACUUGGUGUUACUGCGAAGGGGGGACGGAGAAGGCUAUGUUGGCCGGGCGACGGUUGUCCCGGUUUAAGCGUGUAGGUGUGUGUUCCAGGUAAAUCCGGUUCACUUUAACACUGAGGCGUGACGACGAGGCACUACGGUGCUGAAGCAACAAAUGCCCUGCUUCCAGGAAAAGCCUCUAAGCAUCAGGUAACAUCAAAUCGUACCCCAAACCGACACAGGUGGUCAGGUAGAGAAUACCAAGGCGCUUGAGAGAACUCGGGUGAAGGAACUAGGCAAAAUGGUGCCGUAACUUCGGGAGAAGGCACGCUGACACGUAGGUGAAGUGAUUUACUCAUGGAGCUGAAGUCAGUCGAAGAUACCAGCUGGCUGCAACUGUUUAUUAAAAACACAGCACUGUGCAAACACGAAAGUGGACGUAUACGGUGUGACGCCUGCCCGGUGCCGGAAGGUUAAUUGAUGGGGUCAGCGCAAGCGAAGCUCCUGAUCGAAGCCCCGGUAAACGGCGGCCGUAACUAUAACGGUCCUAAGGUAGCGAAAUUCCUUGUCGGGUAAGUUCCGACCUGCACGAAUGGCGUAAUGAUGGCCAGGCUGUCUCCACCCGAGACUCAGUGAAAUUGAACUCGCUGUGAAGAUGCAGUGUACCCGCGGCAAGACGGAAAGACCCCGUGAACCUUUACUAUAGCUUGACACUGAACAUUGAGCCUUGAUGUGUAGGAUAGGUGGGAGGCUUUGAAGUGUGGACGCCAGUCUGCAUGGAGCCGACCUUGAAAUACCACCCUUUAAUGUUUGAUGUUCUAACGUGGACCCGUUACCCGGGUUGCGGACAGUGUCUGGUGGGUAGUUUGACUGGGGCGGUCUCCUCCUAAAGAGUAACGGAGGAGCACGAAGGUUGGCUAAUCCUGGUCGGACAUCAGGAGGUUAGUGCAAUGGCAUAAGCCAGCUUGACUGCGAGCGUGACGGCGCGAGCAGGUGCGAAAGCAGGUCAUAGUGAUCCGGUGGUUCUGAAUGGAAGGGCCAUCGCUCAACGGAUAAAAGGUACUCCGGGGAUAACAGGCUGAUACCGCCCAAGAGUUCAUAUCGACGGCGGUGUUUGGCACCUCGAUGUCGGCUCAUCACAUCCUGGGGCUGAAGUAGGUCCCAAGGGUAUGGCUGUUCGCCAUUUAAAGUGGUACGCGAGCUGGGUUUAGAACGUCGUGAGACAGUUCGGUCCCUAUCUGCCGUGGGCGCUGGAGAACUGAGGGGGGCUGCUCCUAGUACGAGAGGACCGGAGUGGACGCAUCACUGGUGUUCGGGUUGUCAUGCCAAUGGCACUGCCCGGUAGCUAAAUGCGGAAGAGAUAAGUGCUGAAAGCAUCUAAGCACGAAACUUGCCCCGAGAUGAGUUCUCCCUGAGACUUAGAGUCUCCUGAAGGAACGUUGAAGACGACGACGUUGAUAGGCCGGGUGUGUAAGCGCAGCGAUGCGUUGAGCUAACCGGUACUAAUGAACCGUGAGGCUUAACCUUACAACGCCGAAG
This 2353-nucleotide ribosomal RNA is filed under the name Salmonella enterica subsp. enterica serovar Enteritidis. RNAcentral describes it as "bacterial LSU rRNA". It matches the Rfam family "Bacterial large subunit ribosomal RNA", at positions 605 to 2925 of the family's 2925-position model. The record is from RNAcentral. Lineage: Bacteria; Pseudomonadati; Pseudomonadota; Gammaproteobacteria; Enterobacterales; Enterobacteriaceae.